GAUGAACGCUGGCGGCGUGCCUAAUACAUGCAAGUCGAGCGAACGGAUGAGAAGCUUGCUUCUCUGAUGUUAGCGGCGGACGGGUGAGUAACACGUGGAUAACCUACCUAUAAGACUGGGAUAACUUCGCGAAACCGGAGCUAAUACCGGAUAAUAUUUUGAACCGCAUGGUUCAAAAGUGAAAGACGGUCUUGCUGUCACUUAUAGAUGGAUCCGCGCUGCAUUAGCUAGUUGGUAAGGUAACGGCUUACCAAGGCAACGAUGCAUAGCCGACCUGAGAGGGUGAUCGGCCACACUGGAACUGAGACACGGUCCAGACUCCUACGGGAGGCAGCAGUAGGGAAUCUUCCGCAAUGGGCGAAAGCCUGACGGAGCAACGCCGCGUGAGUGAUGAAGGUCUUCGGAUCGUAAAACUCUGUUAUUAGGGAAGAACAUAUGUGUAAGUAACUGUGCACAUCUUGACGGUACCUAAUCAGAAAGCCACGGCUAACUACGUG
Molecule: ribosomal RNA, 497 nt
Filed under: uncultured bacterium
Lineage: Bacteria
Description: partial 16S ribosomal RNA
Rfam family: Bacterial small subunit ribosomal RNA
Source: RNAcentral